RNAcentral lists this ribosomal RNA (678 nucleotides) under Monosporascus brasiliensis. Its description in RNAcentral is "partial large subunit ribosomal RNA". It matches the Rfam family "Eukaryotic large subunit ribosomal RNA", at positions 114 to 817 of the family's 3401-position model. Lineage: Eukaryota; Fungi; Ascomycota; Sordariomycetes; Xylariales. The record is from RNAcentral.
UUUGAAAUCUGGCCUUCGGGUCCGAGUUGUAAUUUGUAGAGGAUGCUUUUGGUGCGGUACCUUCCGAGUUCCUUGGAACAGGACGCCUUAGAGGGUGAGAGCCCCGUACGGUUGGAUACCAAGCCUCUGUAAAGCUCCUUCGACGAGUCGAGUAGUUUGGGAAUGCUGCUCUAAAUGGGAGGUAAAUUUCUUCUAAAGCUAAAUACCGGCCAGAGACCGAUAGCGCACAAGUAGAGUGAUCGAAAGAUGAAAAGUACUUUGAAAAGAGGGUUAAAUAGCACGUGAAAUUGUUGAAAGGGAAGCGUUUAUGACCAGACCUUUGCCUGGCGGAUCAUCCGGUGUUCUUCACCGGUGCACUUCGCCUGGCUUAGGCCAGCAUCGAUUUUCGUUAGGGGACAAAGACCGCGGGAACGUGGCUCCCUCCGGGGAGUGUUAUAGCCCGCGGUGUAAUACCCUUGCGGGGAUCGAGGUUCGCGCUCUGCAAGGAUGCUGGCAUAAUGGUCAUCAACGACCCGUCUUGAAACACGGACCAAGGAGUCGAACAUUUAUGCGAGUGUUUGGGUGUCAAACCCUCACGCGUAAUGAAAGUGAACGGAGGUGAGAGCCCUUUCGGGUGCAUCAUCGACCGAUCCUGAUGUCUUCGGAUGGAUUUGAGUAAGAGCAUAACUGUUCGGACCC